Molecule: long non-coding RNA, 1787 nt
Organism: Gallus gallus (chicken)
Lineage: Eukaryota; Metazoa; Chordata; Aves; Galliformes; Phasianidae
Source: Ensembl
AGGGUUGGCCCUGCCUUUCCUCCAGAUGCUCUAUCACUGUUUCUGGCUCUGACUCAACCUUUGUACUAUAGCAGCCAAGCAUCUCUUGAUGAUCUUUGGUCUCUGUAGUUUUUUUAAUAGUGAAGAAGUAGGAAUAUGAAAAUGGAGCCGAGUAUAACAUAAAAGGACUUCAAAAUCCGUUCCUCUGCUUGCUUUGUGCCAAUUCCUGUUUUUGGAUUCAGGGGACAACCCUUAGGGUGAAGUUGUCAUGAAUUCAGCUACUCAGUUGUCAUCUUCACUGGAGCUGGUUGAGUCAUUCCCACAUGCUGGUACUCGACAAUAGGAGGAAGACUGGAUAACAGAUGAGCAGGAUUAACUGUUUACCUCACCUUAUGUUUGAGACCUUCGGUUCAUGAUAUUUCUUCUAAGUUAAAGGAAAGGAAGCAUAAUCAUCAACCAUUUGCCAAAGCUUGCCUCUAAGUUAUUUCUGUCCAUCUCUUUCUCAAAUAUGCGUGUGCUACAAAAUGAGUGCUUAAAGAAUGAAAAUGGAUUUUUGGUAAUUAGUCUUUUGACCAGCAGCAAGUGCAUAUUUUUAAAGCUUUCAGUCUUUGUGCAAUGUUCCUUAAGAGAUUCUGUUUUGAAGGGACUGAGUUUUCUUUUGUAUUUUAGUUCCAGACUCAUUCCCGAUUAAGCUAUUUUUAAGCGAAAUCUGUCAUUUUAAAAGAUCCUGUGUUAUAAUGACUUAAAAUAUUUAACUACUGAGAGAAUGCUAGUAAAAUAGUACUUUUCAUAGAUUGCAUUAAUUUAUUAUUUUCAUGGCUACAGUUGCGAUCAGAAAAUGUCUAAAGGAGAACAGCUUUUACUGUUGCAGAGUUUUUGUGGAGUUUAAAAGCCCUUAAACUUGGCUAAUACAUAGCAUUCCUCUGAAAGCAGGUAUUGCACAGCAGAAUCCAUUUAUAAGGUGUAGCUUAUUUUUACAAUUGUGUAUUUCUGCUGUGGAUAGCAGCUGAAGCUUUUGAAUGAAUGCCUUAUUUUCAGUGGGUCUUCUGGAGUGGCAGCCAUUACAUCAGUCCAAAGCAGAGUUACACAGUCACUGGAAAAGGCACACAGCAAACUGGCCAGCAGUGCGAGUGUGUGUUAGACGGCCAGUCUGUGCUGUGGAACAGAUAAAAGCCCAAGCGUAGCAGCUGCCAGAUAAAUAACUUGUAAAAUAAGGUGGUAGACUUUUUCAACUGAAAAGUUUGUUCUUCCAUAUACUUUCUAAUCUGUGGUUUCUGUUUUAGAAACAGCACUGCAAAACAGGCAAUAAUACAUGUUCCAAAUGUGAUCAUGUUAAUGGAGUUACUGUAAUUCAGAGCACUACAUGUCAGUCUACCCAAAUCUUUGUAGAACAAAUACCAGUGCAUUUAUUUCUUAGACCUCUCUGAAGAGGCUUGGGAUAUCUGUAAAAUCUCAGAUGCUACAGCUAGGUAAUGAAAAUGGGAGUGAGGGAGUCCUGGAGCUAGAGAUGCCUUCUGAGAACUGAGAGCUGGGCUGCCUGUAAUCACUGAUGUAGAACACCUUGCAAUUUUCCCCUCACUUGCUCUGGAUGCAGUGGCCCAUGGAGCUCUCAAAAUCUUUCCAUGGUUUAUGAAUAGUUUUCCUCUGAAAUUAAAAGUUAAGCUUUUUUUUAAUGUGAAAAUUAUCCAACUCCAUCUAGGAUCUAUGGAUUUGUGUUACUGUGAUCUUUUUCUAUUGCUGGAAACAGAUGUUAUGGAAAGGAAGUUGCCAUUGUUUCUGAAUUGUGAAUAAAUGCAGAUAAAGCACUU